GACGAACGCUGGCGGCGUGCUUAACACAUGCAAGUCGAACGGAAAGGCCCUGCGCUUGUGUGGUGCUCGAGUGCCGAACGGGUGAGUAACACGUGAGUAACCUGCCCUUGUCUUUGGGAUAACUUCACGAAACUGCGGCUAAUACCGGAUAGGAUCUCUUGCAGCAUGGUGGUCGUUGGAAAGUUUCGGCGGUUGUGGAUGGACUCGCGGCUUAUCAGCUUGUUGGUGGGGUAGUGGUUUACCAAGUCUUAGACGGCUAGCCGGCCUGAGAGGUUGACCGGCCACAUGGGGACUGAGAUACGGCCCAGACGGCAACGGGAGGCAGCAGUGGAGAAUAUUGCGCAGUAGGCGGAAGCCUGUUGCAGCAACGCCGCGUGCGGGAUGACGGCCUUCUAGUUGUAAACCGAUUUCGAAUGUGACGAAGCGUGAGUGACGGUAAUGGGUAAGGAAGCACCGGCUAACUACGUG
This 468-nucleotide ribosomal RNA is filed under the name uncultured bacterium. RNAcentral describes it as "partial 16S ribosomal RNA". It matches the Rfam family "Bacterial small subunit ribosomal RNA", at positions 28 to 507 of the family's 1533-position model. The record is from RNAcentral.